This 506-nucleotide ribosomal RNA is filed under the name uncultured bacterium. RNAcentral's name for it is "partial 16S ribosomal RNA". It matches the Rfam family "Bacterial small subunit ribosomal RNA", at positions 29 to 523 of the family's 1533-position model. The record is from RNAcentral.
AGUGGACGCUGGCGGUGGGCCUAACACGUGCAAGUCGAACGGCAGCACAGGAGAGCUUGCUCUCUGGGUGGCGAGUGGCGGACGGGUGAGGAAUACAUCGGAAUCUACUCUGUCGUGGGGGAUAACGUAGGGAAACUUACGCUAAUACCGCAUACGACCUACGGGUGAAAGCAGGGGACCUUCGGGCCUUGCGCGAUUGAAUUAGCCGAUGUCGGAUUAGCUAGUUGGCGGGGAAAAGGCCCACCAAGGCGACGAUCCGUAGCUGGUCUGAGAGGAUGAUCAGCCACACUGGAACUGAGACACGGUCCAGAAUCCUACGGGAGGCAGCAGUGGGGAAUAUUGGACAAUGGGCGCAAGCCUGAUCCAGCCAUACCGCGUGGGUGAAGAAGGCCUUCGGGUUGUAAAGCCCUUUUGUUGGGAAAGAAAUCCAGCUGGCUAAUACCCGGUUGGGAUGACGGUACCCAAAGAAUAAGCACCGGCUAACUUCGUGCCAGCCGCCGCGGUAA